CCCUGCCAUUUGUACACACCGCCCGUCGCUCCUACCAACUGGAUGAAGAGAUGAAUUUGAGCGACUGGUCAAUUUUUUUAUUAAAAUUGACUGGGAAAUCAACUGAAUCUCUUUGUCUGUAGGAAGGAAAAGUCGUAACAAGGUCUUCGU
RNAcentral lists this ribosomal RNA (150 nucleotides) under uncultured eukaryote. Its description in RNAcentral is "partial small subunit ribosomal RNA". It matches the Rfam family "Eukaryotic small subunit ribosomal RNA", at positions 1651 to 1806 of the family's 1831-position model. The record is from RNAcentral.